This 210-nucleotide ribosomal RNA is filed under the name uncultured bacterium. RNAcentral describes it as "partial 16S ribosomal RNA". It matches the Rfam family "Bacterial small subunit ribosomal RNA", at positions 1290 to 1500 of the family's 1533-position model. The record is from RNAcentral.
AGUUCGAAUUGAAGGCUGAAAUUCGCCUUCAUGAAGUCGGAAUUGCUAGUAAUGGCAGGUCAGCAUACUGCCGUGAAUACGUUCCCGGGCCUUGUACACACCGCCCGUCACACCAUGAGAGUUGGAGAUACCCGAAGCCUGUGAGCUAACUUUUAGAGGCAGCAGUCGAAGGUAGAAUCAAUGAUUGGGGUGAAGUCGUAACAAGGUAAC